ACGGGAGGCAGCAGUGGGGAAUAUUGGACAAUGGGGGAAACCCUGAUGCAGCGACGCCGCGUGAGUGAUGAAGUAUUUCGGUACGUAAAGCUCUAUCAGCAGGAAAGAUAAUGACGGUACCUGACUAAGAAGCCCCGGCUAACUACGUGCCAGCAGCCGCGGUAAUACGUAGGGGGCAAGCGUUAUCCGGAUUUACUGGGUGUAAAGGGAGUGUAGGUGGCGUGGCAAGUCAGAUGUGAAAGCCCGCGGCUCAACCGCGGGACUGCAUUUGAAACUGUCAUGCUAGAGUGCAGGAGAGGAAAGUGGAAUUCCUAGUGUAGCGGUGAAAUGCGUAGAUAUUAGGAGGAACACCAGUGGCGAAGGCGGCUUUCCGGACUGUUACUGACACUGAGGCUCGAAAGCGUGGGGAGCAAACAGGAUUAGAUACCCUGGUA
Molecule: ribosomal RNA, 434 nt
Filed under: uncultured Lachnospiraceae bacterium
Lineage: Bacteria; Bacillati; Bacillota; Clostridia; Lachnospirales; Lachnospiraceae
Description: bacterial SSU rRNA
Rfam family: Bacterial small subunit ribosomal RNA
Source: RNAcentral